RNAcentral lists this ribosomal RNA (782 nucleotides) under uncultured bacterium. RNAcentral describes it as "bacterial SSU rRNA". It matches the Rfam family "Bacterial small subunit ribosomal RNA", at positions 89 to 857 of the family's 1533-position model. The record is from RNAcentral.
GGAUGAGUGGCGAACGGGUGAGUAACACGUGGGAAAUCUGCCUAGGAGUGGGGGAUAACAUUCGGAAACGGAUGCUAAUACCGCAUAUCUUCAUAGACCGCAUGGUCUAUGAAUGAAAGACGGCUUUGCUGUCGCUCUUAGAUGAUCCCGCGGCGUAUUAGUUAGUUGGUGGGGUAAAGGCCUACCAAGACAAUGAUACGUAGCCGACCUGAGAGGGUGAUCGGCCACACUGGGACUGAGACACGGCCCAGACUCCUACGGGAGGCAGCAGUAGGGAAUCUUCCACAAUGGGUGCAAACCUGAUGGAGCAAUGCCGCGUGAAUGAAGAAGGUCUUCGGAUCGUAAAGUUCUGUUAUUAGUGAAGAACAAAUCGAGGAGUAACUGUCUCGAUUUUGACGGUAACUAACCAGAAAGUCACGGCUAACUACGUGCCAGCAGCCGCGGUAAUACGUAGGUGACAAGCGUUGUCCGGAAUUAUUGGGCGUAAAGGGAGCGCAGGCGGUUGGAAUAGUCUGAUGUGAAAGCCCACGGCUUAACCGUGGAAGGUCAUUGGAAACUGUCCAACUUGAAUGCAGAAGAGGUAAGUGGAAUUCCAUGUGUAGCGGUGAAAUGCGUAGAUAUAUGGAGGAACACCAGUGGCGAAGGCGACUUACUGGUCUGUGAUUGACGCUGAGGCUCGAAAGCGUGGGUAGCGAACAGGAUUAGAUACCCUGGUAGUCCACGCCGUAAACGAUGAGUGCUAAGUGUUGGAGGGUUUCCGCCCUUCAGUGCUGGAGUUAACG